UGUCUUUUUGAAAUUAAUUUAAAGUCUAAUCUGCCCACUGAUUUAAUAUUAAAGGGCUGCAGUAUAUUGACUGUACAAAGGUAGCAUAAUCAUUAGUCACUUAAUUGGUGACUUGUAUGAAAGAUUGGAUGAAAUAUAAGCUGUCUCUUAAAUAAAAAUAGAAUUUAAUUUUUUAAUUAAAAAGUUAAAAUAAUUUAAAAAGACGAGAAGACCCUGUAGAGUUUUAUAAAUAAAUUGAUUAAGAUUAUUAAAUAAAAUUAAAAUUAAUUUAUUUAUUAUAUUGGGGUGAUAGAAAAAUAUAUUUAACUUUUUUUAUAUUAAAAACAUUUAUAAGUGAUUAAAUGAUCCAAUAUUAUUGAUUAUAAGAAAAAAUUACCUUAGGGAUAACAGCGUAAUUUUUUUUUUUAGUUCACAUAAGAAAAAGAGUUUGCGACCUCGAUGUUGGAUUAAGAUAAAAUUUAAAUGCAGAAG
RNAcentral lists this ribosomal RNA (471 nucleotides) under Sesamia sp. SEKEG5409. RNAcentral describes it as "partial 16S large subunit ribosomal RNA". Lineage: Eukaryota; Metazoa; Arthropoda; Insecta; Lepidoptera; Noctuidae. The record is from RNAcentral.